Molecule: small nucleolar RNA, 94 nt
Organism: Pteronotus mesoamericanus
Lineage: Eukaryota; Metazoa; Chordata; Mammalia; Chiroptera; Mormoopidae
Product: small nucleolar RNA SNORD116
Exons: 1
Source: RefSeq, a predicted model, not a curated record
AGAUCGAUGAUGGCCCCCUCACAGUGCAUUCCUUGGAAAAGCUGAACAAAAUGAGUGAGAACUCCCACCGUCGUUCUCAUCGGAUCUGAGGUCC